RNAcentral lists this ribosomal RNA (460 nucleotides) under uncultured soil bacterium. RNAcentral's name for it is "bacterial SSU rRNA". It matches the Rfam family "Bacterial small subunit ribosomal RNA", at positions 26 to 518 of the family's 1533-position model. The record is from RNAcentral.
AGGAUAAACGCUGGCGGCGUGCUUCAGGCAUGCAAGUCGAACGAGACUUCGGUCUAGUGGCGGACGGGUGAGUAACACGUAAGUAACCUGCCCAGAAGUGUGGAAUAACCCACCGAAAGGUGGGCUAAUACCGCAUGUGGUGGUUUUUCUCUGGAGAGAUCACUAAAGGCGAAAGUCGCUUCUGGAGGGGCUUGCGGCCGAUUAGCUAGUUGGUGGGGUAAAGGCCUACCAAGGCUACGAUCGGUAGCUGGUCUGAGAGGACGGACAGCCACACGGGGACUGAGAUACGGCCCCGACUCCUACGGGAGGCAGCAGCUAGGAAUCUUGGGAAUGGGCGAAAGCCUGACCCAGCAAGCCGCGUGGGUGAUGAAGGCCUUCGGGGUCGUAAAGCCCUUUUGCGAGGGACGAUGAUGACGGUACCCUGCGAAUAAGCCAUGGCUAACUACGUGCCAGCAGCCGC